RNAcentral lists this ribosomal RNA (328 nucleotides) under uncultured eukaryote. Its description in RNAcentral is "partial 18S ribosomal RNA". It matches the Rfam family "Eukaryotic small subunit ribosomal RNA", at positions 1470 to 1796 of the family's 1831-position model. The record is from RNAcentral.
CCCUUAGAUGUUCGGGGCCGCACGCGCGCUACACUGAAUGAAUCAGCGAGUGUAUGUCCUAGGCCGAAAGGUCCGGGUAACCCGUUGAACCUCAUUCGUGAUUGGGAUAGGGACUUGCAAUUGUUUCCCUUGAACGAGGAAUUCCCAGUAAGCGCAAGUCAUCAGCUUGCGUUGAUUACGUCCCUGCCCUUUGUACACACCGCCCGUCGCUCCUACCGAUUGAGUGGUCCGGUGAGGCUUUGGGAUCUGAGCGGAAAGAGCGUUUCGCUGUUUCUGCUCGGAAAACUCAGUCGAACCUUAUCAUUUAGAGGAAGGAGAAGUCGUAACA